GUAGGUGAUUCGAAAACUCAUCAGAGGAAACCCAGAUUUUUGUGCCUUCAUGGAUUUCGAACAAGUGGGAAAAUUUUGAAGAAGCAAAUAUUUGAUAAAUGGCCAACUGAAGUUGUGGAUAAAUUAGAUCUAGUUUUUGUUGAUGCGCCUUUUCCAUCUCAAGGAAAAUCUGAAGUUGAAGGCAUCUUUGACCCUCCCUAUUACGAGUGGUUUCAAUUCAAUAAGGUCGCUUCAUUUUUUCAGUAUUAAAUCCUACUUGAUUCGAUCAGAUAGCUCUUCCUUCGAUUUCGAUGAACAACUAAUGGUUGUUGUUUUUCAAUACAGGAAUUUACAGAGUAUGAGAAUUUUGAUAAAUGUCUUGAAUACAUAGAAGAAUGUAUGAUCAAACAUGGACCUUUCGAUGGUCUUCUUGGUUUCUCUCAGGUAAUUUUAGUUUUUUUCUCUCUCUUUCUUCAUUUUUGGGGUUGGUUAUAAAAUUUGGUCCAAUGUUUUUUUGCAUUUACUUUGGAAGUAUCUGAAUUCUUUUUUUUAAAAAAAAGGUCUGUUAUUCACUCAAAAAUAUUUUUUUUCAAAGCAGAAAGACAUAAUUUAGACUACUAUAUACUAUUACUAGUAUUUUUUUUUUGGUCAUAUUUCAAAUUUAUGAUAUUGCAUGUAUUUUUAUUACUAGAAAAUAAAUUUGCACAAUUUGAUUUUGAGUAUCUCUGUUUUUUAAUUCAGGGGGCAAUUCUUUCCGGAGCAUUGUCGGGGUUGCAGGCUAAGGUAAUAAAUUAAGUUUUUGUUUUAGUUCUUUGUGUGAAAAUGAAAAUGUAAAAAUUUGAAUCGUAAUUAUUCUUGUUCAAUUAAAUUUUCCAUAGUUAUUGAUGAUAACUUGGUGUGAUAUUAACAGGAAGUGGGACUUACAAAGGCAUCAAAAAUUAAAUAUCUGAUCAUAAUUGGAGGUGCUAAAUUUCGGAAUAAAUCAGUGGCCGAAAAAGCUUAUUCACCAGCAAUUGCAUGCCCUUCCGUUCAUUUUUUAGGUAUCUUUCUGUUCCUACAAAAAAUUUUCAACACGUUGUAUUGUUGUUCUUUGGCUAUUUUACACCACUCGUAGUAUAUGAUUAUUUUUCUUUAAAACGUUUAGUUUAUUUUGUUAACUACGACAAGUCAACUAUUGAUUCUGGCCAAUUUGGGCCGACUCGAUUAAAUUGAAUUUGUUAAGAAAUUUCAUGGGAUGAUGGAAAUUAAGUAAUCACCACGUCCACUUGACAAAUCAAACAAAUGAUGAUAUAUUUUUAUGUACACGAAUUUCUUAAAAAUUUUCAAAUUUUUAAGUAAUUUACUUCAUAAUAAAUAAUAAUUAAUAGGAGUAAUUAAUAGCUGUCUUGGCAGCGAUUUUUGUUAUUGUUUCUUUUUUAAGUUUUUUUAAAACAAAUUUGGUAGCGAUUUUAGAAAAUUUUAAUUUUUUAUUUGUGUAUUUUGAAAUUUUAAUGAAAUUUGUUUUUUUUUUAAAUUAUGAAUUGAAAAUUGCUGCAUUUGCAGCGAUUGUAGUUAUUUAUUAUUUUAUUAUUUAAGUAAACCUCUGCAAAAGCAAAAUUUAGUUUUUUUUUUUGAAAAAAAAUUUAUGUUGUAUAAUCGCUACAAAUACAGUGACUUACUUUUUAUUUUUAUUUUUUUUUUGCAAAUUUUAGUGGAUUUUUUUAAAAAAAAUUGAAACUUUUUUUAAAAUUAUUUUAUUUUAUAAAUAUUUACAAUUGAUAAUUUUAAAAAAAAUCCUUAAAAUCGCUGCAUUUAAAAUACGCAAUUAAAUAAAAUUAAAAUCUUUAUAAAAUAAAAUUUAGAACUAAUUUUAUAAAAUAAAAUUAAAAAAGAAGAAGUUUCAAUUAAAAAAAAUUUGUAAAAAAACAAACAAACUAAAAUUUGCUGCAUUUGCAGCGAUUAUACAACACAAUUUUAUAAAAAAAUAACAACAAAAACUAGAAUCGUUGCUUUUGUAGUGAUAUACUUAAAAAAUAAUAAUAAAUAACUAAAAUCGCAAAAAUAAUAAUAAAUAACUAAAAUCGCAAAAAUAUAGUGAUAUACUUAAAAAAUAAUAAUAAAUAACUAAAAUCGCAAAAAUAUCACUGUUCGAGCAGCAAUUUUACUUUAAUGUCGUUAAAAUAAAUCGCUACGUCAGUAGCGAUUUUAUUGGUUAUGUUGGAAAUUUUUUUUAUAUACCUUUUGGAAUUUUUGUCAAUUAUUUUUGCUCUUUAGACUCCAAACUCGUACUAAUACAUAGUAUUUGUUUAAUAAGGCAUGUUGAUAAACACAAUAUAAAGUUCCAACUUAUUAGAUCGAGUAAUACGUCAAUAUUGGUUAGGAAUAUUUAGAGGAUAUGCCUUGAUAUAAAGGAAUCCCUAGACAAAGAGGAGUUGUUUUGGUCGAUAUAAGAGCCUCAACCUAGACAUCAAACUCCUAGCUCUUGAGCUUAUUUACUGUUGAAAAGGGUACUGUUGGUAUAUUAAUUUCGAAAUAUUUAAUAUUUGCUUAUGAAUAUCAAUUAAUCUCAAGAAUUAGUUAUUCAUAGGUAGUUAAAUUGUGUGAGACAUUCCAACCCCUAGGCCCAACCAAUUAACUCCUAAAUUCUGGUGUUAUAACUAAUUGCAGUUAUGAGUUGUUUUAAUUGACUUAUUAAUAAUCUAUAGCAUAAGCUAGAAAAAUCCGAACUUAUGACUUCAACAUGCCUAUUUUUAGGUGUGGGUGGGCAGCUGCUAAACUUCAACAUGCUAUUAUCCCCAAAUGUAUCAAAGUUUCUAUUUUUUUUUUUAAUUACGAUAUUAAUUACUGGUUAUUAAUUAAUCACUAUAGGUGAGCAAGAUUACCUAAAACAGUAUGGGAUAGAACUGUUGGAAUCAUGUGUUGAUCCAGUGGUGAUUCAUCAUCCUAGGGGUCACACUAUACCAAGAUUCGGUAAACCUCUUUUAACUAUUUUAUUAAUUCAACUUCAUUUAAAUGUUAAUUAUAUUCUGUGUUGUUAAUUAAUCUUCUUCUUCUUCUUCUUUUUUUCAGAUGAGAAAGGAUCAGAGAGUAUGCUUAGUUUCAUUGAGAAGGUGCAAGAAGAGAUUAACAAGUGAUCAAGUUUGAUAAUUUUUUUUCAAAAAAAAAAAUAGUGGUAGUCCCUAGUUUGGGACAUGUAGUUACCACCUUUUUUUAAUAUAAAUAAAAUAGCUCCGAGUAAUUAGUAUUUUACAAUGUAGGAAUGAAAAAUACCAGACCAUGCUAUUGUAUUUACCGCAGUUUGCCAUUCGAUUAUAUUGAUAUAAAAAUCUUUUAUCAGUUCUAACUUUUAGAAAUUUAUAGUUUAAAAUAUGUUUGCAAAAACAUAUAUUUUCAUUUUCAUUUUGGAAAACAUGAAACAUAAUUUAUAUGUAAAAUUACAUAUAUAAAAAAAUAAUGAACUACAUCAUAACAUGAUAUUCCAAAAAAUAUUGUCAAUAACAUAAUUACUAGUAACUACAAUUAGUUAAAAAGGGAAAAGACAUGGUGUCCUACAGAAUUUAUUUUGAAAAUACAAUUACACCCAUAAAUUAUUAUGGUACUCUAUAACAUAUUUUAACAACUCAAAAGUGAAUUUAGUAUCAAUGAAAUACCACUCUCAUGUGGUGUAUUAUAUUCGAUGUCACGUUAACGCUAAGUUAAAAUUAUCUCAUAAAUUAUAAAUUUUUUUGUUAAUUAUAUUUUACUUUAAUUAACAUCUGUUAAUUGUUUUAAUUUUCAAUUAAUUUUAUUUUAUUCAUCAUUAAUCUCAUUCAUUUUCAAAUUGCAAAAUGUCAUAUCCUACCCCAUCUUCACUGUUGAUCUUUUUUCACCACCAUUAUUCAAUUCUUAAUCUUCUUUGUCACUCAACACCAAAUAUUAUCACCACCAUUAUCAAUAUCAACUUUUUUCUUCUUCACCACCUUCAAUUAUCUCUUUUAAUGUUUGUCAACCGCUGUCUAACACCACCAAACAUAUAAAGUUGACUAUCAAGCCCAAAAUUGAUUAACAACUAAAUAUAUAAAAUACGAUUAUUCACUAACAAAUCUAUAUGAAUUAACCUAAUUACAAAUAAAAAAAUAUUAUGUUUUAAAAUUGUGAUAAAAAAUAAAGAAGUUUGAUGAAAAAUAAAGAAUGAAGAAGAGGUGUGGAGGGGUGGGAAUGAAAAAGAGGAUUCUAUCUUUUUUAUUACUUUAAUUUCAGAUUGACGCACAUAUUUUUUAUUUCUUUGUCACAUCAAUUUUAGGGGAUAAGAAAAUUUACUUUUAAAAAGAUAGGUAUAUAAUUGAUUACUAUGAUAAUUUAAGCGUGUAACUGUCUCUUUUUGAAAUUUUAAGCCUUUUUUCUUAAUUAGAAGACAAUUAAUGACAUCAUUAAUAACUAAUUACUCUAUCUGCCCUGAUUUUUUCAGGCGAGAAAGCAUUAGAGAGCAUGCUUAGUUUCAUUGAGAAGGUGCACAUAUAUUUAACAAAUGAUCAAGAAUGACAAAAUAUGCCAGUUCUUUGUUGUGGAAAUAAUUCUUUCCUUGGGUUUUAAAAAUAAAACGCUUCUAAUAAUUAUUUAUGAUAUUUAAAGGGAAUGUAGAAUUAUCUAUAUUCUCAAUAGACAAACUAUUUAAAUUUAUGUAUAUAAAUUCUCUAGUUUCUAUGAACCAUUUUGGAUAAGAAUAUAUCUACAUAUAACGACACUUAACAUAGUAAUUUUUGGAGUGAUUUCUCAAUCUAUAAAUAGAAUUGUUCUUUCAUUUAUUACAUGAGAUAUCUAGAGACAUUUGAAUAAGACGAUAUACACAUUGUACUCUCUUGUAUCACUGGUUUAUAUUCUUGUAGGAUAAAACAUUAUAGAUUCAUGACAUGUGUACUAUAACAUAAUUUAUGGUUGAGAUUCAUUUAAAUUAUAUGCUCAUUAUAAUAAUAAAAACAACAAAGCUGUCAACUUAUUUAAUUUUUAAAAUUAUCAAAUAAAGCAAUUAAGUGUACCCAAACUAAUAUUUUCAAGAAAAAGAUUUAACAUUGACAAGAAUAAACGAACUUCCUGACUUUUUACCCGCCUAACUUAUUUGGGAGUAAUUUCACACAUGCUUUCUCCAAAUUCUGAAGCAAUCUCCAAAAUAGAUCAAACUUAAAAACACCAUUGAAUUAUAAAUAAAAAUUCAACUAAUUAAGAAUAUGAUAAUACAUUUUUAAAAAAUAAUUAUUUAGAGGUUUUCAAAUAAUUAUGAAAAUAUAUUUAAUCAGAUUCUUCAAAAGUGUUGUGUUCUUUAAAAUUAGUAUUAAUUUUAAAAAAUUCAAUACAAGUACGAGGUUGACAGGUAAAAAAUCGGAUAGUCCGCAUAUUUCCGCUAGUCUUAUUUUUUCCUUGAAAAUAUUAGGUAAGAUACUCUUAAUUAUUUUAUUUGAUAGUUAAAAAAUAAAAAUAAUUGACGAUUUUGUUGUUUUUAUUAUUAGAAUGAAUAUAUAAUUUAAAUAGAUCUUAAUCAUAAAUUAUUACAUAGUACACGCAACAUAAAUCUAUAAGACAAUUAAACAUUACUUGACCGGAUCUUUAUCCGCAUGGAAUAUUACUUAUAUUUACAACAUGAUCUCAGUUUUCUUUUUUUUUUUUUUGAAAAAGCAUGAAACAUGACUUAUACUUCUAAGAACUAAAAUAAAAAAGAUAAAAAGAGUUCAUAAAUUUGGUACAGAAUAUAAUGAACUAGAUAAUACAUAUUCCUAAUACCAUGACAUGAUAUUUUAAUUAAAAAAUUACUAAUAACAUAAUUACUAGCUACUCUAACUAGUUAAAUUAUUUUUACAUAUUAAAAACAUCUCUUCACGAAUCAUAACAAACAUGCUUUUUCUAAUCAUAUAACCGAAAAGUAGAUAGAAAAUUAAAUAGGAUCAUAAAUAAAUUGUUUUAUUAAAAAAUAAAAUACAAAAAUUUGGAAUAAAUUUUGAACUUUACAAAGAAAUCAAUAUUAUAUUUUUUCCCCAGUUUUCUUUUUACAAAUUUUGAAAUCUAUUUUCAAGAAAUAGAACAUAUUCUAUGAGUAAGCAGAUACUGUACUAUUUACCCAAAAUUUUCUCCAAAAUGUACGGGAACACUAUGAAUAUGGCAAAUUCAGCCGCCACCAUGGCAGGUGAAGGAACUGCCAACGCCAAUCAGAGGAAAUUACCCAGAUUUUUGUGCCUUCAUGGGUUUCGAACAAGUGGGAAAAUUUUGAAGAAGCAAAUAUUUGAUAAAUGGCCAAUUGAAGUGGUGGAUAAAUUAGAUCUAGUUUUUGUUGAUGCGCCUUUUCCAUCUCAAGGCAAAUCUGAAGUUGAAGGCAUAUUUGCCCCUCCUUAUUAUGAAUGGUACCAGUUCAAUAAGGUCGCGUUGUACGCCUAAUUAAUUCUUGC
This 6371-nucleotide long non-coding RNA is filed under the name Solanum lycopersicum (tomato). RNAcentral describes it as "long non-coding RNA (SLYC_LNC000101)". Lineage: Eukaryota; Viridiplantae; Streptophyta; Magnoliopsida; Solanales; Solanaceae. The record is from RNAcentral.